UGGGGAAUCUUGCACAAUGGGGGAAACCCUGAUGCAGCGACGCCGCGUGAGCGAUGAAGCCCUUCGGGGUGUAAAGCUCUUUCGGCAGGAACGAUAAUGACGGUACCUGCAGAAGAAGCUGCGGCUAACUACGUGCCAGCAGCCGCGGUAAUACGUAGGCAGCGAGCGUUGUUCGGAGUUACUGGGCGUAAAGAGUGCGUAGGUGGUUCUCUAAGUUCGGUGUGAAAUCUCCCGGCUCAACUGGGAGGGGUGCGCCGAAAACUGGAGGGCUGGAGUGCGGGAGAGGAGAGCGGAAUUCCUGGUGUAGCGGUGAAAUGCGUAGAUAUCAGGAGGAACACCUGUGGUGCAGACGGCUCUCUGGACCGCUACUGACACUGAGGCACGAAAGCGUGGGGAGCAAACAGGAUUAGAUACCCUGGGUAGUCCACGCCCUAAACGAUGCAUACUUGGUGUGGGUCAUUCAGUUGAUCCGUGCCGGAGCUAACGCGUUAAGUAUGCCGCCUGGGGAGUACGGUCGCAAGGCUG
This 525-nucleotide ribosomal RNA is filed under the name uncultured bacterium. RNAcentral's name for it is "partial 16S ribosomal RNA". It matches the Rfam family "Bacterial small subunit ribosomal RNA", at positions 355 to 896 of the family's 1533-position model. The record is from RNAcentral.